Oncorhynchus keta (chum salmon) is the source of this 885-nucleotide long non-coding RNA. RefSeq lists it as uncharacterized. The transcript is spliced from 5 exons. The record is from RefSeq and is a predicted model, not a curated record. NCBI's taxonomy places the organism in Eukaryota, Metazoa, Chordata, Actinopteri, Salmoniformes, Salmonidae.
AAACAACAACGACAUGUCAACAACCACCACAGACAUGGACUAGACAACAGGUUAGAACAACAACAUGUCAACAACCACCACAGACAUGGACUAGACAACAGGUUAGAACAACGACAUGUCAACAACCACCACAGACAUGGACUAGACAACAGGUUAGAACAACGACAUGUCAACAACCACCACAGACAUGGACUAGACAACAGGUUAGAACAACGACAUGUCAACAACCACCACAGACAUGGACUAGACAACAGGUUAGAACAACGACAUGUCAACAACCACCACAGACAUGGACUAGACAACAGGUUAGAACAACGACAUGUCAACAACCACCACAGACAUGGACUAGACAACAGGUUAGAACAACGACAUGUCAACAACCACCACAGACAUGGACUAGACAACAGGUUAGAACAACGACAUGUCAACAACCACCACAGACAUGGACUAGACAACAGGUUAGAACAACGACAUGUCAACAACCACCACAGACAUGGACUAGACAACAGGUUAGAACAACGACAUGUCAACAACCACCACAGACAUGGACUAGACAACAGGUUAGAACAACGACAUGUCAACAACCACCACAGACAUGGACUAGACAACAGGUUAGAACAACGACAUGUCAACAACCACCACAGACAUGGACUAGACAACAGGUUAGAACAACGACAUGUCAACAACCACCACAGACAUGGACUAGACAACAGGUUAGAACAACGACAUGUCAACAACCACCACAGACAUGGACUAGACAACAGGUUAGAACAACGACAUGUCAACAACCACCACAGACAUGGACUAGACAACAGGUUAGAACAACGACAUGUCAACAACCACCACAGACAUGGACAACAGUUUAGAAUAGAACAGCUAGGCUGG